AGAGCUUCUGAUUGUUUUGGCAACGUCUUUGACCGUGGCUCCAACGUCAACUCUUCUUGAACCCCCCAAAAGGAAAGAAAUACGCACAAAGCAGGUAUUUGUUUUUGUUCAACAAUCUGGUCACUCAGAAAUGAGAACUCAGGCCUAUAUGCCCAGAUGUUCCCCUUGAGGAGGGCCUGACUCCAUCAACCACCCAGCACCGGUGGUUGCCACGGGGGUCCUGAGGCAAAAGGUCUGGUCCGUGUAAUGUUCUGGCAGAGGACAGGCUUAGCUAAGCUCGACACAGGCCUACUGAGUCCCAACCCUGUGCAGGGCAGAGCAGGCCAGAGGAGGAUGAAGAAUACAUCAUUGUGGAACUCAUUUGGUUGGCCAAAUCCAAUGACCACCUUCUCUAUAGGUUAAAGAAAAAUUGCUGAAUACCUACAGACUUGGGCAAGAAUACGAACACUUGGAGCUUCCCCUCUCUGGCCUUGAGAUAUUUUCUCAUGUGUCAGUGGAGUGAACUGGGCCAGGAAAUCUUGAAAGCCAACAUCAAACUCAAUGCUUUUAGAAUCAACACAUGGUGUGCACAGUGCGUGAACAGCAUGGAAAGUGGUGCUGGAGCGAGGUGUCUCUUCUGUCGCUGCAUGGGGUGAUUCUGAGGGAGGAUGCAACGUUUCAACUCUUUCCCUUAGAUUUGGCUAAAGGUUUUGGAAUAAGCAUUCAACUAGACCUUUAUUACAAAGCAACAAACAUGAACAGCCCAAGAAAGCAUCCAAACUGCAAAAGAAAGGGGUUCCUUGUGUUUUGCUACUUGGCAACGAGCUCAUCUUAAAUCAGAACAAGACUGAUUCUGCGUAGAUAGGAACUCUUGGAACUAGCUCUCCUUGCUGCCCCGAGCUGCAUAUGGCUGAGUGCCCC
This 900-nucleotide long non-coding RNA is filed under the name Vulpes vulpes (red fox). RNAcentral describes it as "lncRNA (ENSVVUG00000000740.1)". The record is from RNAcentral. Lineage: Eukaryota; Metazoa; Chordata; Mammalia; Carnivora; Canidae.